This 253-nucleotide ribosomal RNA is filed under the name uncultured bacterium. Its description in RNAcentral is "partial 16S ribosomal RNA". It matches the Rfam family "Bacterial small subunit ribosomal RNA", at positions 524 to 776 of the family's 1533-position model. The record is from RNAcentral.
UACGUAGGGUGCGAGCGUUAAUCGGAAUUACUGGGCGUAAAGCGUGCGCAGGCGGUCUGUUAAGACAGAUGUGAAAUCCCCGGGCUUAACCUGGGAACUGCAUUUGUGACUGGCAGGCUAGAGUAUGGCAGAGGGGGGUGGAAUUCCGCGUGUAGCAGUGAAAUGCGUAGAGAUGCGGAGGAACACCGAUGGCGAAGGCAGCCCCCUGGGUCGACACUGACGCUCAGGCACGAAAGCGUGGGGAGCAAACAGG